This 480-nucleotide ribosomal RNA is filed under the name uncultured bacterium. RNAcentral describes it as "partial 16S ribosomal RNA". It matches the Rfam family "Bacterial small subunit ribosomal RNA", at positions 30 to 507 of the family's 1533-position model. The record is from RNAcentral.
AUUGAACGCUGGCGGAAUGCUUUACACAUGCAAGUCGAACGGUAGAGGGGGCAACCCCUUGAGAGUGGCGAACGGGUGAGUAAUAUAUCGGCACGUGCCCAGUCGUGGGGGAUAACGUAGCGAAAGUUACGCUAAUACCGCAUACGAUCUAAGGAUGAAAGCGGGGGAUCGCAAGACCUCGCGCGACUGGAGCGGCCGAUAUCAGAUUAGGUAGUUGGUAGGGUAAAGGCCUACCAAGCCAACGAUCUGUAGCUGGUCUGAGAGGACGACCAGCCACACUGGAACUGAGACACGGUCCAGACUCCUACGGGAGGCAGCAGUGGGGAAUUUUGGACAAUGGGCGAAAGCCUGAUCCAGCCAUUCCGCGUGCAGGAUGAAGGCCCUCGGGUUGUAAACUGCUUUUGUACAGAACGAAAAGGUUUCUAUUAAUACUAGGAGCUCAUGACGGUACUGUAAGAAUAAGCACCGGCUAACUACGUG